Molecule: long non-coding RNA, 899 nt
Filed under: Sinocyclocheilus anshuiensis
Lineage: Eukaryota; Metazoa; Chordata; Actinopteri; Cypriniformes; Cyprinidae
Description: lncRNA (ENSSANG00000010440.1)
Source: RNAcentral
AUAAAAUGUAUAGUUUCGGCAUGUACUGUAGCGCUCUAUAUAGGCGACGGUGAGCACGGGCAGAGUUUCACACAGAACUCAUGUUUCUCUGUUAGCCACAGUGACUGAGCAGCGCAGAGUUCUGGAACAUUCCUGGAGAGACUCAAAGAAGAACAUACACAGUGGGAGUUUGGACCCGGCCCAAGAUAAAUAAAUCCAGGUUUACAUUUUAUGAGUAAGAUGGUUAUCAUCAGCUCCAUGUAAAACACCUUUCAUAUUUCGUUGCGAUUGUCACUGUAUAAGGAACCACUAUGAUCAGGUUUUCUGUUCUAGUCUGCCUAUCAGUGCUGCUGUUUAGCACUUCAGCCAAGCCAUACAGGCCCAGGGAAAAAGUGUUGGGCAGUGCAGUUCAGGACACUAUAGUUUUUGAUCAUCCCAAUGAGAAGAUGAUCCUGGGAAUGAAGGAGGUGGAGCCACCACAGGACAUGGACAUUACAGAUUUUGACAUCAAUCCCAACAUGUUGAUUUGGAAAGCCGUAAAAGAAGAAAUACAGCAGAAAUACGACAGACCUGAAGAGGAUAAAGAUGCUCUCUACCACUCCUUUGACAUAAAACAUCCAGCUGAUGCAAAACAGCCUGAAAACUACUUUCAGCUACUGGAACACAAUCCGGUACGGAUGUCUGACAAACCAGAAGAAGAUCGAGAUGAUCUAUACCAUGGCAUGUUUGAUGUAGCUGAAGAGCCAAUGAGAGGAGAGAAGGAUGUAAUUGGAGGUAAUGUCAAGCCCAUGUACUCAAGCCCUGAAGUGGACAAAGACGACCUGUACCACGCAGAUGUUAAAGGACAUCAGUCUGACCAGCAGGCUCUUCCGAUGAAUAUAUUCCCCUUUCGCCCCAAAAGGGUGCACACAGAGCCAGAG